Molecule: long non-coding RNA, 1037 nt
Filed under: Homo sapiens (human)
Lineage: Eukaryota; Metazoa; Chordata; Mammalia; Primates; Hominidae
Description: HSALNT0145281
Source: RNAcentral
CAGCGCCUCAGCCAAGGCUGGCAGGAGAGCGCCCUUUGGGAGCUGCAGCAGGAGCCGUCCACACUGGCAAGGAACCGUCCCACUGGCAAGGAGCUGUCCACGCUGGCAAGGCCCUCAGAGGCCACUAGGAGCUGUUUGCUGGGCACCACUGAAACUGCGGGCUGGAAGCUCCUCUGGGUGUCCUGAGGGCCAGGCCAGUGAGUGCCGCAGGGGCAGAGUUACGUCUGGCUGAACCCCGGUCAUCAGCAAGGUGCGUGCCGUGACCUCACUACCGUCAGCUGCAAUAGAAUCGUGUGAGAAAACGCCAUGGAGCUCCUUUCACUGAGCUGCACUAGGGCGUGGCGUCCAGAGGCCUAUCCGAGGACAGUCACAGGAGCCCAUCUCUCUGUGGACCGCGUCUCGACAUCCAGGGCAUGUGCUCUGCUGGGCUCAUGGGCAGGAGCAGGGGUUUCCUCUCGGCUCGGCUGCUGGGAGCUCAGAUUCCCGUCCCGCUCCCGCCCCGUAACCUCCACUCCGCCCUCACGGGGCUGCGGGACUCAGCCUUGAGUCGGCUCCUUCCCCACUCUUCUCCCGGUCACACCUUUAUUUCUUUCCCUCGACCUUUUCCUGGACUCUUGGAGCGUUUGUUGAUUGGGCUCCGUGAGCCUUGAUUCUAUGGCUAUAGAAUGGGGUCAGUGCCUGGCACCCUGGCUCUCCGGUUUGCUGACUUGUGCACAGGACCGCGCUUACCCUCAGUUCUGACUGCGGACAGAGCUGUCUGGUCCAGACUCCUUUCAGCUGUGCGAUGACACAGCCAGGAAGAUAGAAGCAGCCGGGUCUCGGGGUGUGCAAGGCAUCCUGGGCGGAUGCAAGGCGGGGUACAGCUGCCUGAGCGCGGCAGCCAUGCCCCAGGCCCUGUGCCAGGUUGCUGGGCUCUGGGACUGUCGGGUGGCUCCACUUGGCUCUUGAACACAACUUAGUGUUUCAACUUCACAUCUGGCAAAAGGGAGAGGAUCCAGGGGUUCCAGGGGUGCCUCUCAGGCGGGUUUUCUCCCCCU